GUCGAAGGUGGGGCUGAUGACUGGGGUGAAGUCGUAACAAGGUAUCCGUACCGGAAGGUGCGGAUGGAUCACCUCCUAACAGGGAGACAACACAAUGAUUUUGAUGCCUGAGUACUUUUAUUCUUAGGCCGAAAUCCUGUCACCUUAGGUCGAUCGGUACCUCAGCUUUGAAGUUAAGGAUCAGCAGCAAUGUUGAUUGCUUGAUGGAGAUUUUCAGUUCCUAAACUUUGUCUAGGUCACACCCCAAAAGGGAUGAGACUCCUGGGCCAUUAGCUCAGGUGGUUAGAGCGCACCCCUGAUAAGGGUGAGGUCCCUGGUUCAAGUCCAGGAUGGCCCAUUCGGUGUUGGGGGUUUAGCUCAGUUGGUAGAGCGCCUGCUUUGCAAGCAGGAUGUCAGGAGUUCGAGUCUCCUAACCUCCACUGACCGAACUUGAUUCCCAUCUCCAAUUUUUUGGAGUUGAGCUCGAUUGGAGUGUGAUUUAGAUACGUCCGCUGGAUGACCCCAGCUUCCUGUCAUUCCAAGUUUUAGGUUAAAGCCUUGAAUUUGGUUGAUAAGAUGCUGGGCUCGGAUCAAAUAAUCAAGCAAUUGAUGAUUUGAUUUGAAGUUCUAGCAGAACCUUGACAACUGCAUAGGUGAGUCUGGAAAAAACAAAGCAUCUUACAGAUGCAUUGUUUUGAAUCUGAUCUUCUGAAAGGGAGAUUGGAUCUAGAACAAUGAAAAUUCUUUUGAGCAAGAGCCGAGACUCUUGAACGUUCUUUGAUUGGUGUCGAGCCUAUCGAAGUUUGAUCUUGUUUUUAGCAAUAAAAGCUUGAGAAUCUGCUUUCAACGGCGGUAAGCGUUCAAGAGGUUAAUUGGUCAAGCUACAAAGGGCUCA
RNAcentral lists this unclassified non-coding RNA (874 nucleotides) under uncultured Synechococcus sp. Its description in RNAcentral is "partial may contain 16S ribosomal RNA, 16S-23S ribosomal RNA intergenic spacer, and 23S ribosomal RNA". The stretch from base 347 to 419 matches the Rfam family "tRNA". The record is from RNAcentral. Lineage: Bacteria; Bacillati; Cyanobacteriota; Cyanophyceae; Synechococcales; Synechococcaceae.